GACGAACGCUGGCGGCGUGCCUAAUGCAUGCAAGUCGCACGCACGGAGCUUGCUCCGUGAGUGGCGCACGGCUGAGGAUCACGUGGGAACAUGCCUCCUUGUGGGGGACAACCCGCCGAAGACGGGCGUAAUACCGCCAUACGCUCGCGUGAGCGAGGAAAGGACGGCGAACGACGCAGGGAGGAGUGGCCCGCCGGCCCGACUCAGGUCGUCGGUGGGGUAAGUGG
This 227-nucleotide ribosomal RNA is filed under the name uncultured bacterium. RNAcentral describes it as "partial 16S ribosomal RNA". It matches the Rfam family "Bacterial small subunit ribosomal RNA", at positions 28 to 263 of the family's 1533-position model. The record is from RNAcentral.